RNAcentral lists this ribosomal RNA (254 nucleotides) under uncultured bacterium. RNAcentral's name for it is "partial 16S ribosomal RNA". It matches the Rfam family "Bacterial small subunit ribosomal RNA", at positions 524 to 776 of the family's 1533-position model. The record is from RNAcentral.
UACGUAGGGUGCGAGCGUUGUCCGGAAUUAUUGGGCGUAAAGAGCUCGUAGGCGGUGUGUCGCGUCGGUCGUGAAAACUUGGGGCUUAACUCUGAGCUUGCGGUCGAUACGGGCAUCACUUGAGUUCGGCAGGGGAGACUGGAAUUCCUGGUGUAGCGGUGAAAUGCGCAGAUAUCAGGAGGAACACCGAUGGCGAAGGCAGGUCUCUGGGCAUUAACUGACGCUGAGGAGCGAAAGCAUGGGGAGCGAACAGG